Molecule: ribosomal RNA, 254 nt
Filed under: uncultured bacterium
Lineage: Bacteria
Description: partial 16S ribosomal RNA
Rfam family: Bacterial small subunit ribosomal RNA
Source: RNAcentral
UACGUAGGGGGCGAGCGUUGUCCGGAUUUAUUGGGCGUAAAGAGCUCGUAGGCGGUUUGGUAAGUCGGGUGUGAAAUCUCCACGCUCAACGUGGAGGGGCCACUCGAUACUGCCAUGACUCGAGUCCGGUAGAGGAGUGUGGAAUUCCCGGUGUAGCGGUGAAAUGCGUAGAUAUCUGGAGGAACACCGGUGGCGAAGGCGACAUCCUGGACCGGUAUUGACGCUGAGGAGCGAAAGCGUGGGGAGCGAACAGG